Molecule: transfer RNA, 89 nt
Filed under: Tissierellia bacterium
Lineage: Bacteria; Bacillati; Bacillota; Tissierellia
Description: tRNA-Ser
Rfam family: tRNA
About the family: Transfer RNA (tRNA) molecules are approximately 80 nucleotides in length.
Source: RNAcentral
GGAGAGGUACCGAAGCGGUCAUAACGGGGCGGUCUUGAAAACCGUUAGGGUGCAAACCCACGUGGGUUCGAGUCCCACCCUCUCCGCCA